AAAUAAGAAGCAAUUUUGCAUUUAGUUUCGACCUAAAAAAUUGAUAAUAUUAUCCUUAUUUU
RNAcentral lists this transfer RNA (62 nucleotides) under Lactica sp. BMNH 846625. RNAcentral describes it as "tRNA-Arg". The record is from RNAcentral. Lineage: Eukaryota; Metazoa; Arthropoda; Insecta; Coleoptera; Chrysomelidae.